CAUAAACCGUGGCUCAGUUCAGAUCGUAGGCUGCAACUCGCCUACGUGAAGGAGGAAUCGCUAGUAAUCGCAGGUCAGCAUACUGCGGUGAAUACGUUCCCGGGCCUUGUACACACCGCCCGUCACACCAUGGAAGUUGGCCACGCCCGAAGCCGUUACUCCAACCCUUGUGGAGGAGGACGUCGAAGGUGGGGCUGAUGACUGGGGUGAAGUCGUAACAAGGUAGCCGUACCGGAAGGUGCGGCUGGAUCACCUCCUAA
Molecule: ribosomal RNA, 260 nt
Filed under: Synechococcus sp. UW179
Lineage: Bacteria; Bacillati; Cyanobacteriota; Cyanophyceae; Synechococcales; Synechococcaceae
Description: partial 16S ribosomal RNA
Rfam family: Bacterial small subunit ribosomal RNA
Source: RNAcentral